GUUUCCUUCCAGCCACUCCCUCCCAGCAUCACCCCUCUCCUGACUUCUGACCCCCGAGGUUGCUGUGUUUGUGCUUGAUGUGAAGGAAUCCUGCUAUUUUGUGCUUGGUUCCUUUCUCCCAAUAUUGCAUGUGAGAUCAUCCGUAGUGUGUGUAGUGGUGGAUUGUCUGUCCUCGUGAUAUCGUAGUUCCCAGCUUAGGGCUAUUAUGGGUAGUCCUGCUAUGAAUAUUCUAGCAUGUGUCUUUGGUGAACAUAUGGAUGUGUUUCUUCUGGGUGUGUGACUAGGAAUAGCGUUGGUGGGUCACAGCGUAUGCCUGCGUUCAGCUUCAGUAGAUCCUGACCCACUUCUAAACGUGCCUAGCAGUGCUGGAGCCAUUUAUGGGCAUGUCAGCUGGCGGGGCUGCGAGCCUCCCUCCGUCGUAGCUCCCUUCUGUGAAUGGCCCCACGGGCAGCACAGGGAACAAUCCAACGAAAGAACCGAACCUGCCUUGGACAGCUAACUAACUGCGGUCUCAUUCUGUUUCCCUGAAACGUGGAAUUAAGUUUCGAAUACAACUUUCCUUCCCUCUUAACAACGAUAUUAUUCAUGUCUACAUUUAUUGCAAGCAUUUACCUAGAAGAUAAGGCCUAUUUCCUCCAAUAAGAUCUCCUGUCCUGACUCAACACUUAAUGGCACAGUGUCUCGGGUGCUUUCUUGAAACCUGGUGAUGUGAACAAAGAAUAAAAAUAGCUGCUUGAAAUGCCUCCAAAUGAGCAAAUGCAGGCAUUGUUGGAAUUCCAAAUUUCAGAGCUGCUUUCCGGAAUCCUCGUGGAUUAACGUAGCAGGAGUGGGUACUGAACAGCAAGGAUGGGGCUGGAACUGUAAACUCAAAAAGCAUGAUUAUAAAAGGGGCAUGUCAAAGGGCCAAGGAUCGCAGAACGAUCAGAGUUCAUAAUUUGGGGU
RNAcentral lists this long non-coding RNA (942 nucleotides) under Homo sapiens (human). RNAcentral describes it as "HSALNT0022949". The record is from RNAcentral. Lineage: Eukaryota; Metazoa; Chordata; Mammalia; Primates; Hominidae.